CCACAACACAAAGCGCCCCAAAGUUGCUUCACUCCUUGGGGGAGAGUUCCAUGCUACGUCAUGUGUGAAGAAAGCUGACGUUUUUAACUAGGAUACUUCGGGCAACAGUUAAGGAAGGAAUAGCGACUCUCGACGGUCUCCCUCUGAAUGCACUGGAUGAAAUUCGCCGUUAUUUUUUCAGAACAACUAGCUACUAUAAACAGGAGAUUCGUUUAUUGCACACCGUAGUUUUUAUCCCAUUGAGUGCUACUUACUACUUCAAUUUUUCCCCAGACGAAUUCAAUCUCCCAAGAUAAUAAUUGAAAUACCUGUAGUGCAUAUCGGAUGAGACUUUCCUAGGUCAAGUUUCAUAAAACUGCAUGAGCACUUUGUGGAACCAUGGCAUGGAUAAAGAGUGGUGUUUUGAUCAAGCUCUUCAAAAGCUUCCUUAUUGCGGUUGUGUUGGCUCCAAGUUUGAGAUCCGCAGGAUUCAUGAUCCACACUUUGACACCCUGAGCAGUUCCACAGGCCUCAGCUCCAGUGGACUGCUGUCAUUUCCAUAAGAGGCCAAAAGGUAUUUACUACAGGGCUGAAAGUGAAAUGGUGGGCAGGAAUCUAGAAGUUAAUAGGAGCCUCCUUAUGGGUAGAAACCUGGGGCUGACGGAGGAUGAGAGGCUACAAAGGGAAGGGAGGGAACUCACACACCUACCUCUCUCCAAAAUGUAGUUUGAACAGCCUGGCAGGAGAGGCUUGAGGUUCGCCAGGCUGUGCUGAUACCACAGCAGUCUGGCCCUCCUCUCCCCACUCUCAAAGGGCCCUUUCAUGGCCAGGGAAGCAGGCUACAGGAAUGCAAUGCAGCCAGCACUGA
RNAcentral lists this long non-coding RNA (847 nucleotides) under Oncorhynchus kisutch (coho salmon). RNAcentral's name for it is "lncRNA (ENSOKIG00005050903.1)". Lineage: Eukaryota; Metazoa; Chordata; Actinopteri; Salmoniformes; Salmonidae. The record is from RNAcentral.